Molecule: ribosomal RNA, 493 nt
Filed under: Burkholderia sp. MSh2
Lineage: Bacteria; Pseudomonadati; Pseudomonadota; Betaproteobacteria; Burkholderiales; Burkholderiaceae
Description: bacterial LSU rRNA
Rfam family: Bacterial large subunit ribosomal RNA
Source: RNAcentral
GUUAUAGGGUCAAGCGAACAAGUGCAUGUGGUGGAUGCCUUGGCGAUCACAGGCGAUGAAGGACGCGGUAGCCUGCGAAAAGCUACGGGGAGCUGGCAAACAAGCUUUGAUCCGUAGAUGUCCGAAUGGGGAAACCCACUCCUUUUGGAGUAUCCAUGGCUGAAUACAUAGGCCAUGUGAAGCGAACGCGGUGAACUGAAACAUCUAAGUAACCGCAGGAAAAGAAAUCAACCGAGAUUCCCAAAGUAGUGGCGAGCGAAAUGGGAUGAGCCUUGCACUCUUUAUUUGUAUUGUUAGCCGAACGCUCUGGAAAGUGCGGCCAUAGCGGGUGAUAGCCCCGUAGGCGAAAACAGUAUGAAAGAACUAGGUGUGCGAAAAGUAGGGCGGGACACGUGAAAUCCUGUCUGAAGAUGGGGGGACCAUCCUCCAAGGCUAAAUACUCGUGAUCGACCGAUAGUGAACCAGUACCGUGAGGGAAAGGCGAAAAGAACCC